RNAcentral lists this unclassified non-coding RNA (331 nucleotides) under air metagenome. Its description in RNAcentral is "partial contains small subunit ribosomal RNA, internal transcribed spacer 1, and 5.8S ribosomal RNA". The stretch from base 1 to 46 matches the Rfam family "Eukaryotic small subunit ribosomal RNA", at positions 1786 to 1831 of the family's 1831-position model. The record is from RNAcentral.
AAGUCGUAACAAGGUUUCCGUAGGUGAACCUGCGGAAGGAUCAUUAUUGAAAUAUCUUUGGAGAUAGUACUGUUGCUGGCCCUUGUAGUGAGGUAAUUGUAUUAAACUGCAAGUGGUAUGUGCACGUCUAUCUCUAAUCUUAUUCAUCCACCUGUGCAUUUAUUGUAGGAGUUCUUUGAAGUUGGUUUGUAUGGGUUUUGACCUGUGCGAGUUAAUUUUAAAAGGCUUCUAUGUCUUAUAAACCCAUUAGUAUGUUUUUGAAUGUCUUUUAUUGGGACUUGAUUGGCCCUUUAAACUUGUACAACUUUUAGCAACGGAUCUCUUGGCUCUC